GCCGGGCUCUAUAGCGCAUGCCUGUAAUCCCAGAGACUUGGGAGGCUGAGACAGGAGGAUUGCAAGUUCAAGAUCAACCUCAGUAACUUAAUGGGACCCUAGACACAGCAAGAUCUUGUCUCAA
RNAcentral lists this small RNA (124 nucleotides) under Marmota monax (woodchuck). Lineage: Eukaryota; Metazoa; Chordata; Mammalia; Rodentia; Sciuridae. The record is from RNAcentral.